Molecule: ribosomal RNA, 450 nt
Filed under: uncultured bacterium
Lineage: Bacteria
Description: partial 16S ribosomal RNA
Rfam family: Bacterial small subunit ribosomal RNA
Source: RNAcentral
CCUACGGGUGGCUGCAGUGAGGAAUAUUGGUCAAUGGGCGCAAGCCUGAACCAGCCAUCCCGCGUGCAGGAAGACGGCCCUAUGGGUUGUAAACUGCUUUUCCAGGGGGAGAAACUUGCGCACGUGUUGCGCAAUUGACGGUACCCUGGGAAUAAGCAUCGGCUAACUCCGUGCCAGCAGCCGCGGUAAUACGGAGGAUGCGAGCGUUAUCGGGAUUCAUUGGGCGUAGAGGGAGCGUUAACGCAGUAGUGAAAUCCUGCAGCUUAACUGCAGAACUGCCAGUGAUACUGAUAGCCUUGAGUUUGGUUAAGGUAGGCGGAAUGUGUAAUGUAGCGGUGAAAUGCUUAGAUAUUACACAGAACACCAAUUGCGUAGGCAGCUUACUGAGCCGACACUGACGCUGAGGCACGAAAGCGUGGGGAUCGAACAGGAUUAGAUACCCGAGUAGUC